AGAGUUUGAUCAUGGCUCAGAUUGAACGCUGGCGGCAUGCCUUACACAUGCAAGUCGAACGGCAGCACGGGAGCAAUCCUGGUGGCGAGUGGCGAACGGGUGAGUAAUACAUCGGAACGUGCCCAGUAGUGGGGGAUAACCCGGCGAAAGCCGGACUAAUACCGCAUACGACCUACGGGUGAAAGCAGGGGAUCGCAAGACCUUGCGCUAUUGGAGCGGCCGAUGUCAGAUUAGCUAGUUGGUGGGGUAAAAGCCCACCAAGGCGACGAUCUGUAGCUGGUCUGAGAGGACGACCAGCCACACUGGGACUGAGACACGGCCCAGACUCCUACGGGAGGCAGCAGUGGGGAAUUUUGGACAAUGGGCGCAAGCCUGAUCCAGCCAUGCCGCGUGCGGGAAGAAGGCCUUCGGGUUGUAAACCGCUUUUGUCAGGGAAGAAACGCUCCGGGCUAAUAUCCUGGAGUAAUGACGGUACCUGAAGAAUAAGCACCGGCUAACUACGUGCCAGCAGCCGCGGUAAUACGUAGGGUGCAAGCGUUAAUCGGAAUUACUGGGCGUAAAGCGUGCGCAGGCGGCUUUGCAAGACAGAUGUGAAAUCCCCGGGCUUAACCUGGGAACUGCAUUUGUGACUGCAUGGCUAGAGUGCGGCAGAGGGGGAUGGAAUUCCGCGUAGCAGUGAAAUGCGUAGAUAUGCGGAGGAACACCGAUGGCGAAGGCAAUCCCCUGGGCCUGCACUGACGCUCAUGCACGAAAGCGUGGGGAGCAAACAGGAUUAGAUACCCUAGUAGUCC
RNAcentral lists this ribosomal RNA (791 nucleotides) under uncultured bacterium. RNAcentral describes it as "bacterial SSU rRNA". It matches the Rfam family "Bacterial small subunit ribosomal RNA", at positions 8 to 796 of the family's 1533-position model. The record is from RNAcentral.